This 379-nucleotide ribosomal RNA is filed under the name uncultured eukaryote. RNAcentral's name for it is "partial 18S ribosomal RNA". It matches the Rfam family "Eukaryotic small subunit ribosomal RNA", at positions 592 to 976 of the family's 1831-position model. The record is from RNAcentral.
CAAUAGCGUAUAUUUAAGUUGUUGCAGUUAAAAAGCUCGUAGUUGGAUUUCGGAUGGGACUUGCCGGUCCGUCGUUUCGAUGUGCACUGGCCAGUCCUAUCUUGUUGUCGGGGACUAGCUCCUGGGCUUCACUGUCCGGGACUAGGAGCUGACGAGGUUACUUUGAGUAAAUUAGAGUGUUCAAAGCAAGCCUACGCUCUGAAUACAUUAGCAUGGAAUAACACGAUAGGACUCUGGCUUAUCUUGUUGGUCUGUGAGACCAGAGUAAUGAUUAAGAGGGACAGUCGGGGGCAUUCGUAUUUCAUUGUCAGAGGUGAAAUUCUUGGAUUUCUGGAAGACGAACUACUGCGAAAGCAUUUACCAAGGAUGUUUUCAUUAA